UACAGAGGGUGCAAGCGUUAAGCGGAAUUACUGGGCGUAAAGCGUGCGUAGUCGGUUAUCUAAGUCGGAUGUGAAAUCCCCGGGCUCAACCUGGGAAUUGCAUUCGAUACUGGAUAGCUAGAGUUCGGCAGAGGGAAGUGGAAUUUCGGGUGUAGCGGUGAAAUGCGUAGAUAUCCGAAGGAACAUCAGUGGCGAAAGCGACUUCCUGGACCAGAACUGACGAUCAGGCACGAAAGCGUGGGGAGCAAACAGG
RNAcentral lists this ribosomal RNA (253 nucleotides) under uncultured bacterium. RNAcentral describes it as "partial 16S ribosomal RNA". It matches the Rfam family "Bacterial small subunit ribosomal RNA", at positions 524 to 776 of the family's 1533-position model. The record is from RNAcentral.